Molecule: transfer RNA, 73 nt
Filed under: Microcaldota archaeon
Lineage: Archaea; Nanobdellati; Microcaldota
Also listed under: 2 other names
Description: Candidatus Micrarchaeota archaeon (hot springs metagenome) tRNA-Gly
Rfam family: tRNA
About the family: Transfer RNA (tRNA) molecules are approximately 80 nucleotides in length.
Source: RNAcentral
GCGGCUGUAGUCUAGCCUGGUAGGACUCGAGCUUGCCAAGCUCGCGAGCCGGGUUCAAAUCCCGGCGGCCGCA